Molecule: ribosomal RNA, 332 nt
Filed under: uncultured Thermomonas sp.
Lineage: Bacteria; Pseudomonadati; Pseudomonadota; Gammaproteobacteria; Lysobacterales; Lysobacteraceae
Description: bacterial SSU rRNA
Rfam family: Bacterial small subunit ribosomal RNA
Source: RNAcentral
CGCGUAGGUGGUUUGUUAAGUCUGAUGUGAAAGCCCUGGGCUCAACCUGGGAAUUGCAUUGGAUACUGGCAGGCUAGAGUGCGGUAGAGGGUAGUGGAAUUCCCGGUGUAGCAGUGAAAUGCGUAGAGAUCGGGAGGAACAUCUGUGGCGAAGGCGACUACCUGGACCAGCACUGACACUGAGGCACGAAAGCGUGGGGAGCAAACAGGAUUAGAUACCCUGGUAGUCCACGCCCUAAACGAUGCGAACUGGAUGUUGGGCUCAACUUGGAGCUCAGUAUCGAAGCUAACGCGUUAAGUUCGCCGCCUGGGGAGUACGGUCGCAAGACUGAA